AGUCGAGCGGGAUUUCCACUCAUUGAUUCUUCGGAAGAUUUGUUUGGAUUGAGAGCGGCGAACGGGUGAGUAACGCGUGGGUAAGUUGCCUCAAUGUCCGGGAUAGCCCUCUGAAAAGAGGAUUAAUACCGGAUGUGGUCGCCCCGAGCAUUCGGGGUUGUCUAAAGGUGGGGAUUCUUCGGAACCUGCCGCAUCGAGAUACACCUGCGUCCCAUCAGCUUGUUGGUAAGGUAACGGCUUACCAAGGCUAAGACGGGUAGCUGGUCUGAGAGGAUGGUCAGCCACACUGGGACUGAGACACUGCCCAGACUCCUACGGGAGGCUGCAGUCGAGAAUCAUUCACAAUGCGCGAAAGCGUGAUGAUGCGACGCCGCGUGGAGGAUGAAGGCCUUCGGGUUGUAAACUCCUGUCAGGAGGGAAAAAUGCCUCGACAGUUAAUAACUGUCGAGAUUGAUGGUACCUCCAGAGGAAGCCACGGCUAACUCUGUGCCAGCAGCCGCGGUAAUACAGAGGUGGCGAGCGUUGUUCGGAUUUACUGGGCGUAAAGGGUGCGUAGGCGGCAUUGUGUGUCGGAUGUGAAAGCUCACGGCUUAACCGUGGAAAUGCAUCCGAAACUACAAAGCUAGAGUACAGGAGAGGUAAGUGGAAUUCUUGGUGUAGCGGUGAAAUGCGUAGAUAUCAAGAGGAACACCGGUGGCGAAAGCGACUUACUGGACUGAUACUGACGCUGAGGCACGAAAGCCGGGGUAGCAAAAAGGAUUAGAUACUCUUGUAGUCCCGGCCGUAAACGUUGUGUACUUGGUGUAGGAGGAAUUAUCCCCUUCUGUGCCGGAGCUAACGCGUUAAGUACACCGCCUGGGGAGUACGGCCGCAAGGUUAAAACUCAAAGGAAUUGACGGGCCCGCACAAGCGGUGGAGCAUGUGGCUUAAUUCGAUGCACGCGAGACUUACCAGGGCUUGACAUGCUCGUCGUACCCGAUGAAGUUUGGGGUCAUUAGUGACGUGCACAGUGCUGCAU
RNAcentral lists this ribosomal RNA (1018 nucleotides) under uncultured bacterium. RNAcentral describes it as "bacterial SSU rRNA". It matches the Rfam family "Bacterial small subunit ribosomal RNA", at positions 60 to 1046 of the family's 1533-position model. The record is from RNAcentral.